RNAcentral lists this ribosomal RNA (496 nucleotides) under uncultured bacterium. RNAcentral's name for it is "partial 16S ribosomal RNA". It matches the Rfam family "Bacterial small subunit ribosomal RNA", at positions 29 to 507 of the family's 1533-position model. The record is from RNAcentral.
AUGAACGCUGGCGGCGUGCCUAAUACAUGCAAGUCGAGCGAACGGACGAGAAGCUUGCUUCUCUGAUGUUAGCGGCGGACGGGUGAGUAACACGUGGAUAACCUACCUAUAAGACUGGGAUAACUUCGGGAAACCGGAGCUAAUACCGGAUAAUAUUUUGAACCGCAUGGUUCAAAAGUGAAAGACGGUCUUGCUGUCACUUAUAGAUGGAUCCGCGCUGCAUUAGCUAGUUGGUAAGGUAGCGGCUUACCAAGGCAACGAUGCAUAGCCGACCUGAGAGGGUGAUCGGCCACACUGGAACUGAGACACGGUCCAGACUCCUACGGGAGGCAGCAGUAGGGAAUCUUCCGCAAUGGGCGAAAGCCUGACGGAGCAACGCCGCGUGAGUGAUGAAGGUCUUCGGAUCGUAAAACUCUGUUAUUAGUGAAGAACAUAUGUGUAAGUAACUGUGCACAUCUUGACGGUACCUAAUCAGAAAGCCACGGCUAACUACGUG